RNAcentral lists this ribosomal RNA (1441 nucleotides) under Bacillus licheniformis. RNAcentral describes it as "bacterial SSU rRNA". It matches the Rfam family "Bacterial small subunit ribosomal RNA". Lineage: Bacteria; Bacillati; Bacillota; Bacilli; Caryophanales; Bacillaceae. The record is from RNAcentral.
CUCAGGACGAACGCUGGCGGCGUGCCUAAUACAUGCAAGUCGAGCGGACCGACGGGAGCUUGCUCCCUUAGGUCAGCGGCGGACGGGUGAGUAACACGUGGGUAACCUGCCUGUAAGACUGGGAUAACUCCGGGAAACCGGGGCUAAUACCGGAUGCUUGAUUGAACCGCAUGGUUCAAUCAUAAAAGGUGGCUUUUAGCUACCACUUACAGAUGGACCCGCGGCGCAUUAGCUAGUUGGUGAGGUAACGGCUCACCAAGGCGACGAUGCGUAGCCGACCUGAGAGGGUGAUCGGCCACACUGGGACUGAGACACGGCCCAGACUCCUACGGGAGGCAGCAGUAGGGAAUCUUCCGCAAUGGACGAAAGUCUGACGGAGCAACGCCGCGUGAGUGAUGAAGGUUUUCGGAUCGUAAAACUCUGUUGUUAGGGAAGAACAAGUACCGUUCGAAUAGGGCGGUACCUUGACGGUACCUAACCAGAAAGCCACGGCUAACUACGUGCCAGCAGCCGCGGUAAUACGUAGGUGGCAAGCGUUGUCCGGAAUUAUUGGGCGUAAAGCGCGCGCAGGCGGUUUCUUAAGUCUGAUGUGAAAGCCCCCGGCUCAACCGGGGAGGGUCAUUGGAAACUGGGGAACUUGAGUGCAGAAGAGGAGAGUGGAAUUCCACGUGUAGCGGUGAAAUGCGUAGAGAUGUGGAGGAACACCAGUGGCGAAGGCGACUCUCUGGUCUGUAACUGACGCUGAGGCGCGAAAGCGUGGGGAGCGAACAGGAUUAGAUACCCUGGUAGUCCACGCCGUAAACGAUGAGUGCUAAGUGUUAGAGGGUUUCCGCCCUUUAGUGCUGCAGCAAACGCAUUAAGCACUCCGCCUGGGGAGUACGGUCGCAAGACUGAAACUCAAAGGAAUUGACGGGGGCCCGCACAAGCGGUGGAGCAUGUGGUUUAAUUCGAAGCAACGCGAAGAACCUUACCAGGUCUUGACAUCCUCUGACAACCCUAGAGAUAGGGCUUCCCCUUCGGGGGCAGAGUGACAGGUGGUGCAUGGUUGUCGUCAGCUCGUGUCGUGAGAUGUUGGGUUAAGUCCCGCAACGAGCGCAACCCUUGAUCUUAGUUGCCAGCAUUCAGUUGGGCACUCUAAGGUGACUGCCGGUGACAAACCGGAGGAAGGUGGGGAUGACGUCAAAUCAUCAUGCCCCUUAUGACCUGGGCUACACACGUGCUACAAUGGGCAGAACAAAGGGCAGCGAAGCCGCGAGGCUAAGCCAAUCCCACAAAUCUGUUCUCAGUUCGGAUCGCAGUCUGCAACUCGACUGCGUGAAGCUGGAAUCGCUAGUAAUCGCGGAUCAGCAUGCGCGGGUGAAUACGUUCCCGGGCCUUGUACACACCGCCCGUCACACCACGAGAGUUUGUAACACCCGAAGUCGGUGAGGUAACCUUUUGG